Sarcophilus harrisii (Tasmanian devil) is the source of this 916-nucleotide long non-coding RNA. RefSeq lists it as uncharacterized. The transcript is spliced from 3 exons. NCBI's taxonomy places the organism in Eukaryota, Metazoa, Chordata, Mammalia, Dasyuromorphia, Dasyuridae. The record is from RefSeq and is a predicted model, not a curated record.
CAAUGAGGAUGAGGUUCAGUGGGGGGAGGAGGUAUUUGCAUCAGGGAUUAAAAGUGUUGACCCUGCCCCUACGAUGCUUCCUCCCUUCUAUUAUUUGCUGGACAGGAGAAUGCAUAAUAAAUUUUGCUUUGCCUCUAGAGAUCUCUCCAGCUUUUUUUAUUAAAUGGUGACCCCUCACCAUUUCUGAACCACAAGCCUUCUUCCUCCUUCUGUGGUCUAAAGAUCUUCAUACCUGAGGCCCGUCAUCCACCUUCCAAGAUUGAGAUCAGACUGGAAACCACAGGUCCUGUCCAGAUUCACGGCUGUAAUUGUGACAAACUCCUUCCAGGACAGAAUGCAGAGAUGUUCCAUGCUGGGAGCCAUCUUGAAAAUAAGUGAGAAUAAUGCACAACGGUGACAUUGCCAUACAAAGUCUCUCCCACUGCCUUAGACUUGGAUUCCACAUCAUCAUGCUUCCCAGAAACAUCUUUACCAGUAACUCAUCCUCCAGUCAGAUUACAUCCGCUUUGGUGUCUGUACCUGCUCAGGAUCCGGUCCCCCUGGCUGGAGAACUGGAGAACAGGGCAGAGAAGCCCUUCCAAUCAGAGACCUGCUAGUACUUGGACUUGUAUCAAAGCUACUCCAAGCCUUGAAAGUGAAUGUGUGUGGGGUCCUGAGGCUGAUUCCCAGGAAGCACAGCCGCAUUUUAGGAUUGGCAACUCUCAGUCCUGGCAGAUGAGUUCUCCCUAUAUGUAUUCUGGUCUUCAGGAGUCACUUGGCAGAUUUAUAAGCUUUCACAGAAAAGAAAGACUGGCUAGUGAAGAUAAGAAACCGAGGCUUGAAGAGGUGAGUCUGGAUGCCCUACUUAACCGACUCAAAAGAACUGAUUGCUAUAUUUUUCGUGUGAACAUCUACAUCCGGGAAACCCGCGAUCCUU